UCUAAGUGCUAAGUUUGCUCUGAAAAAGUUCUUUUUCUUGCUCCUCGCUUAGGACUCCUUAUAUACUAGCUCCAAGGUCGGUUUACGCUUUUACUCUUCUGCCCUUAAGCCGUCAUAGCAUAAAAAUGGAGAUAUUCCAUUUUUCCCGAUCUUCACAAUUAUCUUCAAAACUUCCGUAUUUAUCCGCGGAAACUUGACAUUUAUCCUUCCUCGUGGGCCAAGCGUGAACCAUGCUGUGGUUCACGGGCUUUUGGUUAG
This is a long non-coding RNA of Brassica rapa (field mustard), 258 nucleotides long. RefSeq lists it as uncharacterized. Lineage: Eukaryota; Viridiplantae; Streptophyta; Magnoliopsida; Brassicales; Brassicaceae. The record is from RefSeq and is a predicted model, not a curated record.